GCCGCGGAAGCCAAAGAACACAGGAGGAAAGAAUAGAAAAACUCUAAAGAGAAAAAUUCAAGAGAAAUUCAUUGAAUUUUCAAAAAACGAAGCGAUGGGAGGUAAGAUUUCGCUAUUUAGCUUAAGGUCUACCUUACCCAUGCUUUCUUUUUCAUUUUCUGUGGUUGAAACUCAAGUUUUCAUGAUGGAAGCAUGCUGGCCGAAUGAAGGGGGGGAGGAUUUAAGGAUGGAUUUUGCUAGAUUUCAUGUUAUCUAGGUGUUUUUAGUGUUUUUGUGAUAUUCAGUAUGAAAAACAAGUAAGAAAACAUGUUCUUCAUCAAACCCUAAUUUGACCGAAUUCUAUAGGGAAUAUUUUGAAGAUGAAUUUUGUCAUAUUUCAUGUUAUCUAGCUCGUAUUUGAUGAUUCGUGAUGUCGGAUAUCGAAAAUGGUUAUCGAAAAGUAUAGUCCUUUAGUAAACGACUUGAACGAUAAUGAGAAAAUUAUGGUAAAUGGAUUUAGAAUUGAUUUCUAAUGAGGUAUACGGACUUAUUGGAGUACCGAAAGUGCAAUGAAUCUAUUUGGAGUUGAAUUGGAUGUUUUGGCUGAUUAAACAGUGUAUAGUGUGAGUUAGAUCGAACACCAUUUCAGUCCAACAACAAUUGAACCUACGUAAAACACCAUCUUUAAGUGAUUAUUCAAAUACUUCGUAUUCAAUUUCAUGCAUUCAUAAAGAGCCUGAAAUAGUCUUAUAACAGUUUGGCACAAGUGUAUUGAAUUACUUAUUGUGCAUUAUGUAUAGGUGGUGAGCCCUCUGGUAAGGGUAAGGAUAUCAUACCCGAGGACUAGGAGUAGGAGUACUCCCGUUAUUGUGAGUAAUCAGACAAUCAUCUUAACUAUCUAAAGUAGUUUAUACUCAUUUUUUUUGAUUUUAAAGAAUAAUGAGUUUAAAUUGUAAAUUAUUAUGUUUUAAAAUUGAAGUGUUGGUUAAACGAAAUGAGAUUUUUAACUUGUUUUGAAAUUGAAUACUGGUUUUGGAAAUUGAGUAAGUGGAGACUAUAUACUCGUGUUUGAUAUAUGGUUUGAAUUGAUGGCUUAUGACAAUGUGAUGGCAUGAAUGGCUGGAUUUAUGUUUGUGUGGAAUAUAUGAACUAUUUUGUUUUAUCUUGACAGACUAGGUAAUAUCAUAUUAGCCAUGUCAUACUGCCGAAAUUUUUAUUGAUUUGGUGGGGAAAUUGAUUAGCUUACUGCAGUGGGCCGGUUUCCGUGGACCGACCUAUUUGAGAGGCAUGGUAAACCCCGUUAUAUUUUACCUCAGUAAGAGAGGCGCGGAGGGUAUCUCCUAAGGUAGUUUAGAGUUCAUUUCACGUCGAACCACCACGUGAGGGUGAAACUCAGCCAACGCCAAGGAACGACUAUGUUUUUAAAUGUAAAAAUAUGUUUUAUGUGUAUAUGUUAUUUUAACAGCCUUGACAGACUCGGUUUGAUGGCCUACGCAAGGUGUCACCGAGCACAAGUUUUGGCACGAGCCAAGUUUUUAAAAGAAUCAUAAGCCUUGUUGAUUUUUUAUAAAAUGUAACUGUUUUAUAUGGGUUGAAAUGAGUUUUAAUGUUAUGAAUCAUAUUAUGAAGAGAUGCUUUAACUGUUUUAUAUAGAUGAACUUUGCUUACUCACUGGAUUUAUAAAAACUCACCCCCUUCUUUUCACUGAUUUUAGGUUCAAAGCAAUCUGUAGACAGUCGAUUUUGACGAGGGUUUGCUUUUGGAUUUGCACCCUUAGAAAUCGUAAGUCUACAGUCCUGUUUACUUUUGUUAUUUUGGGGUUCACAUGUCAUUGUAAAAUAUUUUUGUAUACCCU
This 1834-nucleotide long non-coding RNA is filed under the name Theobroma cacao (cacao). Its description in RNAcentral is "long non-coding RNA (TCAC_LNC002015)". Lineage: Eukaryota; Viridiplantae; Streptophyta; Magnoliopsida; Malvales; Malvaceae. The record is from RNAcentral.